This 640-nucleotide ribosomal RNA is filed under the name Comesomatidae sp. TCR82. RNAcentral describes it as "eukaryotic LSU rRNA". It matches the Rfam family "Eukaryotic large subunit ribosomal RNA", at positions 408 to 900 of the family's 3401-position model. Lineage: Eukaryota; Metazoa; Nematoda; Chromadorea; Araeolaimida; Comesomatidae. The record is from RNAcentral.
GUUAGAGGGAAACAGGUAGAGCUGGUGAGAGUCCGUGGGAUUCAGUUUCCUGAUCUAGAUAGGUUGCCAGAUCUGAUCUUACGACUGGUGAGGCUUCCGAUUCUGGUGAAGGGGUUGCAUUUCUCGCUGGACGUGCAUUGAGGGCGUCUGAUGCAUGGAAAGAACGGCUAGUUGCCUGCCUCGCUCGCGAGGUGUUCCUCUGGUCGGGAAAUCUGUUGCGUUGGUCGUUUUAUCRGAGUUCAGUUCACUGGCUAGUACUGUAUCUCAGAGUAUUGGAGUUCCAAAUAUAUUUGUGCUCUAGCUCCUGGUUAUUAGUACUGGUUCAGCGAGUAGCUCUGGUCUCGGUGUCAAAGUCAGCGACCUACCUGACCCGUCUUGAAACACGGACCAAGGAGUCUAACAUGUGUGCAAGUCACUGAGCGGCAAACUCAGAGGCGGAAUGAAAGUGAAGGCUACUCUGUAGCUGAUACGGGAUCCUCAGUUCUACUGGGGAGCACCGUAGCCCCGUCUCGAUUGCUUGUCAAUAGGGCGGAGGCAGAGCAGACACGUUGGGACCCGAAAGAUGGUGAACUAUGCAUGAGCAGGACGAAGCCAGAGGAAACUCUGGUGGAGGUCCGAAGCGGUUCUGACGUGCAAAUCG